RNAcentral lists this non-coding RNA (93 nucleotides) under Spiroplasma clarkii. RNAcentral describes it as "SAM-I sequence". It matches the Rfam family "SAM riboswitch aptamer (S box leader)". Rfam says of the family: The SAM riboswitch is found upstream of a number of genes which code for proteins involved in methionine or cysteine biosynthesis in Gram-positive bacteria. The record is from Rfam by way of RNAcentral. Lineage: Bacteria; Bacillati; Mycoplasmatota; Mollicutes; Entomoplasmatales; Spiroplasmataceae.
UUCUUAUUAAGAACUACUGAGAGAAAAAACUCGUUGAAGUAGUAGCAACCUUUUAAGUUAGGUGCUUAAAUUUGGGGAAACCAGCAAUAGGAA